GACGAACGCUGGCGGCGUGCUUAACACAUGCAAGUCGAACGGAAAGGCCCUGCUUUCGUGGGGUGCUCGAGUGGCGAACGGGUGAGUAACACGUGAGUAACCUGCCCUUGACUUUGGGAUAACUUCAGGAAACUGGGGCUAAUACCGGAUAGGAGCUCCUGCUGCAUGGUGGGGGUUGGAAAGUUUCGGCGGUUGGGGAUGGACUCGCGGCUUAUCCGCUUGUUGGUGGGGUAGUGGCUUACCAAGGCUUUGACGGGUAGCCGGCCUGAGAGGGUGACCGGCCACCAUGGGACUACGGUAGGGACCAGUGUGCUACAGGGGGCAGUGGGGGAGAAUAUUGCCCAAUGGGAGGGAGGCUGGUAGGGAGACGCCGGGUUCGGGAAGACGGCCUUUGGGGUGUAAAACGCAUUAGCCUGUGACGAAGCGUGAGUGACGGUAAUGAGUAAAGAAGCACCGGCUAACUACGUG
RNAcentral lists this ribosomal RNA (468 nucleotides) under uncultured bacterium. RNAcentral describes it as "partial 16S ribosomal RNA". It matches the Rfam family "Bacterial small subunit ribosomal RNA", at positions 28 to 507 of the family's 1533-position model. The record is from RNAcentral.